CCCCUCCCCGCCGGGGUGGGGGUGACCGAGGCACCUCCCCCGGCUGAGCCCGGAGGGCGGGGGGCUCUGCCCGCCCCCGGCGGUGUGUGUGUGUGUGUGUGUGUGUGUGUGUGUGUGUGUGUGUGUGUGUGUGUGUGUGUGUGUGUGUGUGUGUGUGCGCGCGCGAGCUCACGCCGCGCCCCUACCCCUAAGCACAUGCGGAUACCCACCGCAUCACAGCAAACGGGCGAGUUGGCGAGCGCUCUCCCGUCUGCUUCUCUUCACAAGCCACCAGCUUUCCCCAUUCCCAUUGCCCGAGAUUUUUCCCUGCUUCAGUGACUCCAUUUCAGUGGUUAAUGCUUUCUGAACCCGUAUGACUUACAGAUAUAUAUUAGUCAUUUAUGACAACAGUCAAGAAUUACGUGCGAAGAGUGAUUUCCAAAGCAGUUUUAAAAGUCUGAAGGAGUGCUAACUACCACUAUUGCUAUCUCAGGAUGGUGGGCAAAUAUAUUUCUACCUGACACAUCCUCCUCCUCCACCAGUGCCAAUUAUAACUCAGAUGGACUCGGGGGAUUACUGACAAUUUCUUUAAUGGUGUGUGAGAGUUCCCAUUGCCCAUAUAGAUUUACUCUGCAACACAGACAGUGACAAAAAGAAUCUGCAGAGAAGAGUAUUAAUAUUUCACAAAUUGUGUAAGAUAUAGGAAUCAAGAGAACACAGCUAUGUCUGAUCUACCUCUCAGGAAUCGAACUGGAAUUUCCUUUGUGUCAAAGAUGGCUCACAUGCAUUUUAUUAGCUUUUAAAUAAGGCUUCUAAUCUUACACAUCAAUUAACAAAAUGUAGGAAUAUUGUCAAACAUUUAUGCUUGCAGUAUGAGAAAGGAGUAAUUUAUUCUGUACUGAUCUCUGUAUAUCAGUACCGGUCACUGCAACGUGCCUUUAAGAGGGCUAAAAUAAGUAAUAUAGACUGAUGGAUUCCAGGAUACUGCCAAUUGUCCAAAUUCCAUAAGCCUCACCUUCCAAUUUCUGUAGUUUCAUGCAGGGAGGAAUUACACUCUGAAACUGCUACACAUUUCAAAUCUCUAUAAAAACUCAAUGUCUGAUCAGUCAUAUCUCUAAUGUUUUGUAGGUAAAGCAAUGAAACAGCUUUCCUAAGAUCUGGAUUAAAUUUCUUGAAAUGUUCUAUACUCCUUGGAUGUCUUUGGAUCUGCUAUUUGUUUUGUUUUGUUUCAUUUUCUGUUCUUCAAGAUUACUUUUCCUAGCUUUAUCAUCAUGUAGAGUACGUCCUCUGAGCCAGAAUACUAUGUAGUAAUAAUUCUUAUUUUGUACUUAUAGGGGAGUUGAAUACAACAGUCUGAUUUGGAGUAUUGGUUAGGGAUAGGGUCUCUAGAUGCCUGAUUCAUGUGUGAGGUUUUAACUUAAGCAGUGAAUGGUGGAUUUCAUUGUUAAUUGAUACUUAGAAAUAAUGUUUUACCUCUGGAAAUAGCUAUGCAAUUAAUUUAAUAAAAUGAACUGAUCAGAAUGUAUGUGUUUAUUUUGAAUUACAUUUCUACACAUAAAUGCUAAUUAAAAUUCAUUGCUGCUGAUAGUAACAUUAUUAACAUGUAUACAGUGUACCGUUAACAGUAACAGAAGUAGCAUUAAUUAGUGGAAUUAGAUAUUUUUUCUACUGAGAUAAUGUCCCAAAUGGCAAUUACAUAUAUAUGUACAUUCUCUACAGAUAUUACUAAUAGCAUCAUUAGAUCAAUACAACGUAAGUUUAGAAACACUGAAUAAGUUUAGUGACUGGGGACUCAACAGAGAAUCCUCCCCCCCCCCCCUUUUUUUUUUUUUUUUUUUUUUUUUUACUUCUGUGUGAUUUUCAAUGAAGUCAGGAAUUUCUGGAUGGCAG
This is a long non-coding RNA of Gallus gallus (chicken), 1869 nucleotides long. The record is from Ensembl. Lineage: Eukaryota; Metazoa; Chordata; Aves; Galliformes; Phasianidae.